RNAcentral lists this long non-coding RNA (5037 nucleotides) under Lathyrus oleraceus (garden pea). RNAcentral describes it as "Pisum sativum (pea) long non-coding RNA (PSAT_LNC040385)". The record is from RNAcentral. Lineage: Eukaryota; Viridiplantae; Streptophyta; Magnoliopsida; Fabales; Fabaceae.
AAAAAAUACACGUUUAUAUUUUGACACGUGUGAAUAUUAAAAAAAGCGGACAAAAAAUUUAUUUCGGAUUUAAAGUGAAAUGGAAACUCUUAUAUAAGGAGGAAGUGAGGGAGCACCUAGAUCCAAAACAAUAAUGGAAAAUUGGAUAAAAAAUGGGGAAAUUAAAAUUAGGGUUUGGAAAUGAAUAAUAAAAAAAAUUAAGAAAAAAAUAAAAGAAGAAAGAUGAAUUUUGUUUUGUGUGUUGUGUUAGUGUAUGAUUAACGAAUGAAUGUGAUAUGUAUCCUUAAAUGAAAAAAUUACCCUUUAACUUCCUUUUGGAUUUAUAAAUUUAUCAUUACAGAGAAACUGUUUAUGACAAAAUUAUCCUUUAUGACAAAUUACCUUUUAACUUCCUCUUUGUCUUUAUAAAUUUAUCAUUAAGAGAAAACUUUUUUAUAUUUUAUUUUUCUACUCAUCACCACAUAAUAAAACCAACCUUCAUGUACAUUUGAGAUCAAUUAACCGCUACAUAAUUUCUUGGUUUCAUUCUCUCAACCGACCAUCAUUCUCUUGACAGUUACAAUUUUAUUUGCUCAACCGCUCAUCAUCCUUUUGGAAGUCAUGAUUUCAUUCUCUCAACUACUCAUCAUCCUCUCGGCGGCUCUCAAUGCUUUGAAAUUAAAAUUUUAUCUAUCUUCAUCCCACAAAAGAAAAAUUUAAACUUUAAGAGCUUUCAUAUGAAGGUUCCUCCUUAUCCAUAUUCAAUAUAACUUUUUUUCACCAUUCUCUUCCAUAAUAUAUUCAUUAAACUUAUAAUGGGGAAAUUUGUAGGUGAUAGAGAGUCGGUUGCAAAGGUAUGAUAUGCGAUCGAAGGGCAGUCUUUGACAAGAAACAUAUAGGUUUUGUAGGCCUGUCCCAUGGUGGAGAUGAAAACACAACGCAAAGCAUGGUGCAUAUACUACUGACUCAGAAAAUGUCAUUCAUGGUGACAGUGAGAUUUUCUUUUACAUAUUCUGUAGUCUCUUUUAUUUCAUUUGUAUUUUAUUAUAUUUCUUCUUUUAAUAAUAAGAAUAUUUUUAACCUCUGUUUUGAUAAUGGUUUUUCUAUUCCGGAGCUUGCAUAUGGGGAUUAUUUCUUUACAUUUUACAAACUGUGUUAUUCAUAAUCAAAUUUAUCUUUGGUAUAUAGAUGUUGUUAAUAACAAAAUUCUCUUUCCAAAAAUCAUAAAGGUUCAAUAUGGACCCAAAGAUGAAUUUGGAGUGUUUCUCACUUCCCAUUUUCUAAACAGCAUCUAACUUGAAUUGAAAUAUGUCAAAUUUUGUCUCUCUAUUCAACUUAAACAACAAUUUUCUCUUGCAAUUACACAUAUAAAUUUUUUUUCCAAAUCUAUAUUAACUUUUUUUUUCUUGACAGUAAAGAUUAACAUUUAGUUGUGAACAUAAUGCUAUAAAUAUGAAUAUUUCGUUUACCUGCUAUUGAAUCAAACUCUUUUAUUUGUUUAGUUUUUCUUUUCUGAUGGUAAAUACUAAAUAUAGAGUUUUUAAUGAGUUUGGUGAAAGUAUAUAUAUAGUUAUAGUUUAAGCAUUUUGGUGUAGCUUUAUGUUUGAUGGUGAUAUAAGAGUAUUUUAGGAACCACAAUACAAGUUACAACAGAGUGAGGUUUCAAUAAAAUUUUGGAGUUUUGUUUUAUAUUACUUUCCUUUCUCCAUAUAAAAGGACAAUUUUCUCAUUGAAAAUCAAAAGUGAAGUAACAACGUUAUUGUUGUUGUGUUGUAAACUUUUGAUAAGAGAAUACUUUCUAGAUAAUGACUAAAGAAUUGUAGGGUUGUCACUUUCUAUCUUUUCUUUUUUCUUUAUAAUAUUUCAACUUAAUUUAGAUUUUUUCCCCAACUUUGGUUGCAUUUUUCAUAUAUUUAUUUUUCAAUAUUUUCAAUUAUAGUGUAAAAAUCAUUUCAAUGAAAUCAAAUGGAAAAGUCAAAAAUAAUGUUAGGCCUACUGGAAUUGAAAUGCAUAUUUAGUAUAUUCAAUGUAUCCAUUAUGCAUCCUUAUACAUCAAUCAAUGUGAAUCAAAGUUUAAUUAAUAGAACAGAAAAUUAAAAUGAUAGUAUGUCUAUUUAAUUUAAUCACAUAAAAAAUAUCUAUGAAAUUAAUAUAUUUGAUACUUUUAUAUAAUUUUUUUAUUAAUGUUCUUAAAUUGUGAAGGAAGAGAGAGAGAGAGAGAGAGAGAGAGAGAGAGAGAGAGAGAGAGAGAGGAGAUAAAUCAUAUCACAAAGUUUUUUUACAAAAACAAUUUAUAUUAACAUCAAAAUUAAACAAAAAAUACACGUUUAUAUUUUGACACGUGUGAAUAUUAAAAAAAGCCGACAAAAAAUUUAUUUGGAUUGAAAGUGAAAUGGAAACUCUUAUAUAAGGAGGAAGUGAGGGAGCACCUAGAUCCAAAACAAUAAUGGAAAAUUGGAUAAAAAAUGGGGAAAUUAAAAUUAGGGUUUGGAAAUGAAUAAUAAAAAAAAAUAAGAAAAAAAUAAAGGAAGAAAGAUGAAUUUUGUUUUGUGUGUUGUGUUAGUGUAUGAUUGACGAAUGAAUGUGAUAUGUAUCCUUAAAUGGAAAAAUUACCCUUUAACUUCCUCUUUGGAUUUAUAAAUUUAUCAUUACAGAGAAAACUGUUUUAUGACAAAAUUACCUUUUAACUUCCUCUUUGUCUUUAUAAAUUUAUCAUUACAGAGAAAAUUGUUUUUAUAUUUUAUGUUUCUAGUCAUCACCACAUAAUAAAACUAACCUUCAUGUACAUUUGAGAUCAAUUAACCGCUACAAAAUUUCUUGGUUUCAUUCUCUCAACCGACCAUCAUUCUCUUGACAGUUACAAUUUUAUUUGCUCAACCGCUCAUCAUCCUUUUGGAAGUCAUGAUUUCAUUCUCUCAACUACUCAUCAUCCUCUCGGCGGCUCUCAAUGCUUUGAAAUUAAAAUUAUUCUAUCUUCAUCCCACAAAAGAAAAUUUAAACUUUAAGAGCUUUCAUAUGAAGGUUCCUCCUUAUCCAUAUUCAAUUAUAACUUUUUUUCACCAUUCUUUCCAUAAUAUAUUCAUUAAACUUAUUAAUGGGGAAAUUUGUGAGGUGAUAGAGAGUCGGUUGCAAAGGUAUGAUAUGCGAUCGAAGGGCGAGUCUUUGACAAGAAACAUAUAGGUUUUUGUAGGCCUGUCCCAUUGUGGAGAUGAACACCAAUGCAAAAGCAUGGUGCAUAUACUACUAACUCAGAAAAUGUCAUUCAUGGUGACAGUGAGAUUUUAUUUUACAUAUUUUGUAGUCUCUUUUAUUUCAUUUGUAUUUUGAUUAUAUUUCUUCUUUUAAUAAUAACAAUAUUUUUAACCUCUGUUUUCAUAAUGGUUUUUCUAUUCCGGAGCUUGCAUGUGGGGGAUUAUUUCUUUACAUUUUUACAAACUGUGUUAUUCAUAAUCAAAUUUAUCACUGGUAUAUAGAUGUUGUUAAUAACAAAGAUUCUCUCAUUCCAAAAAUCAUAAAGGUUCAAUAUGGACCCAAAGAUGAAUUUGGAGUGUUUCUCAGUUCCCAUUUUCUAAACAGCAUCUAACUUGAAUUGAAAUAUGUCAAAUUUUGUCUCUCUAUUCAACUUAAACACAAUAUUUUCUCUUGCAAUUACACAUAUAACUUUUUUUUCCAAAUCUAUAUUAACUUUUUUAUUCUUGCCAGUAAAGAUUAACAUUUAGUUGUGAACAUAAUGCUAUAAAUAUGAAUAUUUCGUUUAACUGCUAUUGAAUCAAACUCUUUUAUUUGUUUAGUUUUUCUUUUCUGAUGGUAAAUACUAAAUAUAGAGUUUUUAAUGAGUUUGGUGAAAGUACAUAUAUAGUUAUAGUUUAAGCAUUUUGGUGUAGCUUUAUGUUUGAUGGUGAUAUAAGAGUAUUUUAGGAACCACAAUACAAGUUACAACAGAGUGAAGUUUCAAUAAAAUUUUGGAGUUUGGUUUUAUAUUACUUUCCUUUCUCCAUAUAAAAGGACAAUUUUCUCAUUUGGAAAAUCAAAAGUGAAGUAACAACGUUAUUGUUGUUGUGUUGUAAACUUUUGAUAAGAGAAUACUUUCUAGAUAAUGACUAAAGAAUUGUAGGGUUGUCACUUUCUAUCUUUUCUUUUUUCUUUAUAAUAUUUCAACUUAAUUUAGAUUUUUUCCCCAACUUUGGUUGCAUUUUUCAUAUAUUUAUUUUUCAAUAUUUUCAAUUAUAGUGUAAAAAUCAUUUCAAUGAAAUCAAAUGGAAAAGUCAAAAAUAAUGUUAGGCCUACUGGAAUUGAAAUGCAUAUUUUAGUAUAUGCAAUGUAUCCAUUAAUGCAUCCUUAUAACAUCAAUCAAUGUGAAUCAAAGUUUAAUUAAUAGAACAGAAAAUUAAAAUGAUAGUAUGUCUAUUUAAUUUAAUCACAUAAAAAAUAUCUAUGAAAUUUAAUAUAUUUGAUACUUUUAUAUAAUUUUUUUAUUAAUGUUCUUAAAUUGUGAAGGAAGAGAGAGAGAGAGAGAGAGAGAGAGAGAGAGAGAGAGAGAGAGAGAGAGGAGAUAAAUCAUAUCACAAAGUUUUUUACAAAAACAGUUUAUAUUAAAAUCAAAAUUAAACAAAAAAUACACGUUUAUAUUUUGACACGUGUGAAUAUUAAAAAAAGCGGACAAAAAAUUUAUUCGGAUUUAAAGUGAAAUGGAAACUCUUAUAUAAGGAGGAAGUGAGGGAGCACCUAGAUCCAAAACAAUAAUGGAAAAUUGGAUAAAAAAUGGGGAAAUUAAAAUUAGGGUUUGGAAAUGAAUAAUAAAAAAAAUUAAGAAAAAAAUAAAGGAAGAAAGAUGAAUUUUGUUUUGUGUGUUGUGUUAGUGUAUGAUAAACUAAUGAAUGUGAUAUGUAUCCUUAAAUGAAAAAAUUACCCUUUAACUUCCUCUUUGGAUUUAUAAAUUUAUCAUUACAGAGAAAAUUGUUUUAUGACAAAAUUAUCCUUUAUGACAAAAUUACCUUUUAACUUCCUCUUUGUCUUUAUAAAUUUAUCAUUACAGAGAAAACUGUUUUUAUAUUUUAU